UCGAACGAACUCUGGUAUUGAUUGGUGCUUGCAUCAUGAUUUACAUUUGAGUGAGUGGCGAACUGGUGAGUAACACGUGGGAAACCUGCCCAGAAGCGGGGGAUAACACCUGGAAACAGAUGCUAAUACCGCAUAACAACUUGGACCGCAUGGUCCGAGUUUGAAAGAUGGCUUCGGCUAUCACUUUUGGAUGGUCCCGCGGCGUAUUAGCUAGAUGGUGGGGUAACGGCUCACCAUGGCAAUGAUACGUAGCCGACCUGAGAGGGUAAUCGGCCACAUUGGGACUGAGACACGGCCCAAACUCCUACGGGAGGCAGCAGUAGGGAAUCUUCCACAAUGGACGAAAGUCUGAUGGAGCAACGCCGCGUGAGUGAAGAAGGGUUUCGGCUCGUAAAACUCUGUUGUUAAAGAAGAACAUAUCUGAGAGUAACUGUUCAGGUAUUGACGGUAUUUAACCAGAAAGCCACGGCUAACUACGUGCCAGCAGCCGCGGUAAUACGUAGGUGGCAAGCGUUGUCCGGAUUUAUUGGGCGUAAAGCGAGCGCAGGCGGUUUUUUAAGUCUGAUGUGAAAGCCUUCGGCUCAACCGAAGAAGUGCAUCGGAAACUGGGAAACUUGAGUGCAGAAGAGGACAGUGGAACUCCAUGUGUAGCGGUGAAAUGCGUAGAUAUAUGGAAGAACACCAGUGGCGAAGGCGGCUGUCUGGUCUGUAACUGACGCUGAGGCUCGAAAGUAUGGGUAGCAAACAGGAUUAGAUACCCUGGUAGUCCAUACCGUAAACGAUGAAUGCUAAGUGUUGGAGGGUUUCCGCCCUUCAGUGCUGCAGCUAACGCAUUAAGCAUUCCGCCUGGGGAGUACGGCCGCAAGGCUGAAACUCAAAGGAAUUGACGGGGGCCCGCACAAGCGGUGGAGCAUGUGGUUUAAUUCGAAGCUACGCGAAGAACCUUACCAGGUCUUGACAUACUAUGCAAAUCUAAGAGAUUAGACGUUCCCUUCGGGGACAUGGAUACAGGUGGUGCAUGGUUGUCGUCAGCUCGUGUCGUGAGAUGUUGGGUUAAGUCCCGCAACGAGCGCAACCCUUAUUAUCAGUUGCCAGCAUUAAGUUGGGCACUCUGGUGAGACUGCCGGUGACAAACCGGAGGAAGGUGGGGAUGACGUCAAAUCAUCAUGCCCCUUAUGACCUGGGCUACACACGUGCUACAAUGGAUGGUACAACGAGUUGCGAACUCGCGAGAGUAAGCUAAUCUCUUAAAGCCAUUCUCAGUUCGGAUUGUAGGCUGCAACUCGCCUACAUGAAGUCGGAAUCGCUAGUAAUCGCGGAUCAGCAUGCCGCGGUGAAUACGUUCCCGGGCCUUGUACACACCGCCCGUCACACCAUGAGAGUUUGUAACACCCAAAGUCGGUGGGGUAACCUU
RNAcentral lists this ribosomal RNA (1414 nucleotides) under Lactiplantibacillus plantarum. Its description in RNAcentral is "bacterial SSU rRNA". It matches the Rfam family "Bacterial small subunit ribosomal RNA". Lineage: Bacteria; Bacillati; Bacillota; Bacilli; Lactobacillales; Lactobacillaceae. The record is from RNAcentral.